UAGCAGACACUCUUGCCCUUACAUCUGCAGGAACAGAAGUGUGUCCCGGCCAGUGGAGAACUCUCCCCAGAGCUCCAGGAGUGGGCACCUUACUCGCCUGGGCAUUCCAGCCGGCACAGCAACCCCCCGCUAUACCCUAGCAGGCCGUCUGUGGGCACUGUUCCCCGGAGUUUGACCCCCAGCACCACUGUGAGCUCCAUCCUGCGGAACCCCAUCUACACUGUGCGCAGUCACAGGGUCGGCCCCUGCAGCUCUCCACCUGCGGCCCGAGAUGCUGGCCCCCAGGGUUUGCAUCCCAGUGUCCAGCACCAGGGACGCCUGAGCCUGGACCUGAGCCACAGGACCUGCAGCGACUACUCCGAGAUGAGAGCCACCCAUGGGUCCAACUCACUGCCCUCCAGCGCCCGCCUGGGUUCUUCGAGUAACUUGCAGUUCAAGGCGGAACGCAUUAAAAUCCCAUCAACACCAAGAUAUCCGCGGAGUGUCGUGGGCUCCGAGAGAGGUUCAGUGUCACAUUCUGAAUGCAGCACUCCUCCACAGUCACCCCUGAACAUCGACACCCUGUCCUCUUGUAGCCAGUCCCAGACCUCAGCCUCCACAUUGCCCAGAAUCGCUGUCAACCCCGCGUCCCUCGGGGAGCGGAGAAAGGACAGGCCUUAUGUGGAGGAGCCACGCCACGUGAAGGUGCAGAAGGGCUCAGAGCCGCUGGGCAUCUCCAUCGUGAGUGGAGAGAAGGGCGGCAUCUACGUCUCCAAGGUGACCGUGGGGAGCAUCGCUCACCAGGCUGGCCUCGAGUAUGGGGAUCAGUUACUGGAGUUCAACGGCAUAAACCUGCGGAGCGCCACGGAGCAGCAGGCGCGGCUCAUCAUCGGGCAGCAGUGUGAUACCAUCACCAUCCUGGCCCAGUACAACCCCCACGUGCACCAGCUCAGCAGCCACUCCCGGUCCAGCUCACACCUGGACCCUGCCGGUACCCACUCCACUCUCCAGGGCAGUGGCACCACCACCCCGGAGCAUCCAUCUGUCAUCGACCCACUGAUGGAGCAGGACGAGGGGCCUAGCACCCCCCCAGCCAAGCAGAGCAGCUCCAGGAUUGCGGGAGAUGCCAACAAGAAGACCCUGGAGCCACGCGUUGUCUUCAUCAAAAAGUCCCAGCUGGAGCUUGGGGUGCACUUGUGUGGUGGGAACCUGCAUGGGGUGUUUGUGGCCGAGGUGGAGGAUGACAGUCCUGCCAGGGGUCCUGACGGCCUCGUGCCAGGGGACCUCAUCCUGGAGUAUGGCAGCCUGGACGUGCGGAACAAGACAGUGGAGGAAGUCUAUGUGGAGAUGCUGAAGCCCAGGGAUGGCGUCCGCCUGAAGGUGCAGUACCGCCCUGAGGAGUUCACGAAGGCCAAGGGCCUGCCUGGUGACAGCUUCUACAUCAGGGCCCUGUACGACCGGCUGGCAGAUGUGGAGCAUGAGUUGAGCUUUAAGAAGGACGACAUCCUCUACGUGGAUGACACCUUGCCCCAGGGCACGUUCGGGUCCUGGAUGGCUUGGCAGCUGGACGAGAAUGCCCAGAAGAUCCAGCGCGGGCAGAUUCCCAGCAAAUAUGUGAUGGACCAAGAAUUCUCCAGGAGGCUCAGCAUGUCUGAAGUCAAAGAUGACAAUAGCGCCACAAAGACGCUGUCAGCAGCUGCACGCCGGUCCUUUUUUCGGAGGAAACACAAGCACAAACGCAGCGGGUCCAAGGACGGGAAAGACCUGCUCGCCUUGGAUGCCUUUUCCAGUGACUCCAUUCCACUCUUUGAAGAUUCGGUGAGCCUGGCCUAUCAGCGGGUCCAGAAGGUGGACUGCACCGCUCUGAGGCCUGUCCUGAUUCUGGGGCCUUUGCUGGACGUGGUGAAGGAGAUGCUGGUGAAUGAGGCUCCUGGCAAGUUCUGCAGAUGUCCCCUUGAGGUGAUGAAGGCCUCCCAGCAGGCCAUUGAGCGGGGUGUCAAAGAUUGCCUGUUUGUCGACUAUAAGCGGAGAAGCGGCCAUUUCGAUGUGACCACUGUGGCGUCAAUAAAGGAGAUCACAGAAAAGAACCGACACUGCCUCCUGGACAUUGCUCCGCACGCUAUUGAGCGGCUCCACCACAUGCACAUCUACCCCAUUGUCAUCUUCAUCCACUACAAGAGCGCCAAGCACAUCAAGGAGCAGAGAGACCCCAUCUACCUGAGGGACAAGGUGACUCAGAGGCAUUCCAAAGAGCAGUUUGAGGCGGCGCAGAAGCUUGAGCAGGAGUACAGCAGGUACUUCACAGGGGUCAUCCAGGGAGGAGCCCUGUCAAGCAUUUGCACUCAGAUCUUGGCAAUGGUCAAUCAAGAACAAAAUAAAGUCCUGUGGAUUCCAGCCUGCCCGCUCUAGGAGAAUGCUGUGCUGUGGAUGACUGCAGCUGGCCGCCUGAGGGGACGCCAGGCUCAGCUCUUUUCUAGCGACUGAAAGUAGAAGUCUGUCCGUCUAUGAACAUGCAGGGGAAGGAUCCGGAGCCAGGACCCAGAAGCACCUCCUUUGUAGACAGAGGGCCACGGCUGCAUGCGAUCCAGGCCCAGGCCCACACACUCUGCCCGUGUCACACGUGUGCUUUAACACAAAACAGAUAACACUAAAGACGGGUUCAGCACCCACCUUUCUUUAGCCAGCUGAUCAGAGAUGCUGCAAAGAGAACCUUUCGGAUCACUCGUUUACAAGCCUUUUCUAAGUAUUUGGUGGUUUAUGUUUACUUGAACGGCUCCAUGUUGCCGGUGCCCAGCCCCUGUCCCCUCUGUCAACCCCCUGUCGCUUUGGUGUUGGUUUCGUUCCCGUCUUCAGCAAAACGACCUUGGAACCUCAAUGGGGGCUGCUUUGCUUUGGGAGGUUCUUGUUGGUGGGACCAGAGCUUUGACAAACCUCCUGCUCCUUGGUGG
This 2927-nucleotide small RNA is filed under the name Pan troglodytes (chimpanzee). RNAcentral describes it as "retained intron". Lineage: Eukaryota; Metazoa; Chordata; Mammalia; Primates; Hominidae. The record is from RNAcentral.